This 1715-nucleotide ribosomal RNA is filed under the name Salmonella enterica. RNAcentral describes it as "partial 23S ribosomal RNA". It matches the Rfam family "Bacterial large subunit ribosomal RNA", at positions 1 to 1756 of the family's 2925-position model. The record is from RNAcentral. Lineage: Bacteria; Pseudomonadati; Pseudomonadota; Gammaproteobacteria; Enterobacterales; Enterobacteriaceae.
GGUUAAGCGACUAAGCGUACACGGUGGAUGCCCUGGCAGUCAGAGGCGAUGAAGGGCGUGCUAAUCUGCGAUAAGCGCCGGUAAGGUGAUAUGAACCGUUAUAACCGGCGAUACCCGAAUGGGGAAACCCAGUGUGAUUCGUCACACUAUCAUUAACUGAAUCCAUAGGUUAAUGAGGCGAACCGGGGGAACUGAAACAUCUAAGUACCCCGAGGAAAAGAAAUCAACCGAGAUUCCCCCAGUAGCGGCGAGCGAACGGGGAGGAGCCCAGAGCCUGAAUCAGCAUGUGUGUUAGUGGAAGCGUCUGGAAAGGCGCGCGAUACAGGGUGACAGCCCCGUACACAAAAGCGCAUGUGCUGUGAGCUCGAUGAGUAGGGCGGGACACGUGGUAUCCUGUCUGAAUAUGGGGGGACCAUCCUCCAAGGCUAAAUACUCCUGACUGACCGAUAGUGAACCAGUACCGUGAGGGAAAGGCGAAAAGAACCCCGGCGAGGGGAGUGAAAAAGAACCUGAAACCGUGUACGUACAAGCAGUGGGAGCACCCUUUGGGGUGUGACUGCGUACCUUUUGUAUAAUGGGUCAGCGACUUAUAUUCUGUAGCAAGGUUAACCGUAUAGGGGAGCCGGAGGGAAACCGAGUCUUAACCGGGCGUUAAGUUGCAGGGUAUAGACCCGAAACCCGGUGAUCUAGCCAUGGGCAGGUUGAAGGUUGGGUAACACUAACUGGAGGACCGAACCGACUAAUGUUGAAAAAUUAGCGGAUGACCUGUGGCUGGGGGUGAAAGGCCAAUCAAACCGGGAGAUAGCUGGUUCUCCCCGAAAGCUAUUUAGGUAGCGCCUCGUGAACUCAUCUCCGGGGGUAGAGCACUGUUUCGGCUAGGGGGCCAUCCCGGCUUACCAACCCGAUGCAAACUGCGAAUACCGGAGAAUGUUAUCACGGGAGACACACGGCGGGUGCUAACGUCCGUCGUGAAGAGGGAAACAACCCAGACCGCCAGCUAAGGUCCCAAAGUCAUGGUUAAGUGGGAAACGAUGUGGGAAGGCCCAGACAGCCAGGAUGUUGGCUUAGAAGCAGCCAUCAUUUAAAGAAAGCGUAAUAGCUCACUGGUCGAGUCGGCCUGCGCGGAAGAUGUAACGGGGCUAAACCAUGCACCGAAGCUGCGGCAGCGACGCUGAUGCGUUGUUGGGUAGGGGAGCGUUCUGUAAGCCUGCGAAGGUGGCCUGUGAGGGUUGCUGGAGGUAUCAGAAGUGCGAAUGCUGACAUAAGUAACGAUAAAGCGGGUGAAAAGCCCGCUCGCCGGAAGACCAAGGGUUCCUGUCCAACGUUAAUCGGGGCAGGGUGAGUCGACCCCUAAGGCGAGGCCGAAAGGCGUAGUCGAUGGGAAACGGGUUAAUAUUCCCGUACUUGGUGUUACUGCGAAGGGGGGACGGAGAAGGCUAUGUUGGCCGGGCGACGGUUGUCCCGGUUUAAGCGUGUAGGUGUGUGUUCCAGGUAAAUCCGGUUCACUUUAACACUGAGGCGUGAUGACGAGGCACUACGGUGCUGAAGCAACAAAUGCCCUGCUUCCAGGAAAAGCCUCUAAGCAUCAGGUAACAUCAAAUCGUACCCCAAACCGACACAGGUGGUCAGGUAGAGAAUACCAAGGCGCUUGAGAGAACUCGGGUGAAGGAACUAGGCAAAAUGGUGCCGUAACUUCGGGAGAAGGCACGCUGACA